AGUGAACGCUGGCGGUAGGCCUAACACAUGCAAGUCGAACGGCAGCACAGUAAGAGCUUGCUCUUACGGGUGGCGAGUGGCGGACGGGUGAGGAAUACAUCGGAAUCUACUUUUUCGUGGGGGAUAACGUAGGGAAACUUACGAUAAUACCGCAUACGACCUACGGGUGAAAGCAGGGGAUCUUCGGACCUUGCGCGAUUGAAUGAGCCGAUGUCGGAUUAGCUGGUUGGCGGGGUAAAGGCCCACCAAGGCGACGAUCCGUAGCUGGUCUGAGAGGAUGAUCGGCACACCGGAAACGAGACAACGGUCAGGACUCCAACGGAGGGAACAGGUGGGAAAUAUUGGACAAUGGGGGAAAGCCUACGCCACCCAUACGGCGUGGGUGAAGAGGGCUUUCGGGUUGUAAAGCCCUUUUGUUGGGAAAAAAAAGCAGCAGGUUAAUACCCCGCUGUUCGGACGGUACCAAAAGAAUAAGCACCGGCAAACUUCGU
This 491-nucleotide ribosomal RNA is filed under the name uncultured bacterium. RNAcentral describes it as "partial 16S ribosomal RNA". It matches the Rfam family "Bacterial small subunit ribosomal RNA", at positions 29 to 506 of the family's 1533-position model. The record is from RNAcentral.